RNAcentral lists this transfer RNA (76 nucleotides) under Rhodocyclaceae bacterium. Its description in RNAcentral is "tRNA-His". It matches the Rfam family "tRNA". From Rfam's summary of the family: Transfer RNA (tRNA) molecules are approximately 80 nucleotides in length. Lineage: Bacteria; Pseudomonadati; Pseudomonadota; Betaproteobacteria; Rhodocyclales; Rhodocyclaceae. RNAcentral also lists the same sequence under 4 other names. The record is from RNAcentral.
GCGGCGGUAGCUCAGUUGGUAGAGUCCCGGGUUGUGAUCCCGGUUGUCGUGGGUUCGAGUCCCAUCCGUCGCCCCA